Cydia pomonella (codling moth) is the source of this 1212-nucleotide long non-coding RNA. RefSeq lists it as uncharacterized. Lineage: Eukaryota; Metazoa; Arthropoda; Insecta; Lepidoptera; Tortricidae. The transcript has 3 exons. The record is from RefSeq and is a predicted model, not a curated record.
GUUCAGGUUAUAUUGUAUGUCUAUGUAGUUCAGAGAAAUAUUGUAUGUCUAUGAGAGAAUGAGAGAAAUCCAUUAAAGAAAACGUAGUGACCUAUGACCGUAAUAUGAUAAGAUUCAUAUACUAGCCGUGUCUUAUCCAACCUCGACAAGUCGACAUUGGCAGAAUCAUCAACACCUUGAUGGAGCCAUAACACGAAAAAUUGAUUGAUAGUGAUUAUGCUCUUUGCAUUAAAGAUUUGGAGCUUGUGGAGAUUAGAGAAACACGAGGGUCUGGCGGCGGUAAUAUGUCCGGUAUGUCCGGGCACAGAGAAACAUCAAACAAGUCCUGCAUUAUCAAUCAUUUGAAGCUAUGACAAGUGCAAAUAAACUUGAAGAUGGAAAGGAAAUCACCGCUUCUAUGGAAGAAGAAAACGAAACAAGUGUAGAAGACAACAUGUGUUGAUCAUGCUAGAAUUAUGUGUCCGUGUCGUCCGCGGAAGCCAAAAAUAAAGAUUUGCCAUUCGAAAAAAAGAAGACCAGAUUCACGUGCUUCUAUCUAUCUUUCUUCGUGCUUGUAUCUUUCUUCUUUUUGCACCGUCGCGCAAAAAGAAGAAAGAUAUAGCCAUCCAAACUGGUUCAGAUGAGAAACACAGCACUCGUGUACAGGUUGUGUAGGUGUAAAGACCACGCUUGUGCCUGAUUCUUAUUUUUUUAUAUAUUUAUUAAUAGAUUGGUAUAAAUUCCUAUAAAUUUACUUUGCCAUGGUAAAAACUAACAAACAAGUAUCUUUCACAAAUAAAGAAAUAGCAAGAAGAAUUGGACAGACAUGGAAGAAAUAUUGGUCUAUGAAGGAUAUAUUCAAGAAUAAAAUACCAAUGAAACUCAAAAAACUAGCCUUUGAUUCAUGCAUACUACCCUGUCUUACAUAUGGCAGUCAAACAUGGUCACUCACAGGAGAUCUCAUCAAACAAAUUCAAGUAUGUCAACGGUCAAUAGAGAGAAGUGUCCUUAACAUAAAAUUAACUAACAGAGUUAGAAACAUAGAGAUAAGAAGGCGAACUAAAUUUAGAGACGCGGCAGUACAUAUUUUAAAGCAAAAAUACAAUUGGGCAGGGCACAUAGCCAGAAUGAAAAAUAACAGAUGGACAAAAAUAGCUACGAAUUGGAAUCCAAAAGUUGGCAAAAGAAAAAAGGGCAAACCAAAAACAAGAUGGGAAAAAGACCUCAUAGAAA